GGUGAACGCUGGCGGCGUGCCUAAUACAUGCAAGUCGAGCGAACGGACGAGAAGCUUGCUUCUCUGAUGUUAGCGGCGGACGGGUGAGUAACACGUGGAUAACCUACCUAUAAGACUGGGAUAACUUCGGGAAACCGGAGCUAAUACCGGAUAAUAUUUUGAACCGCAUGGUUCAAAAGUGAAAGACGGUCUUGCUGUCACUUAUAGAUGGAUCCGCGCUGCAUUAGCUAGUUGGUAAGGUAACGGCUUACCAAGGCAACGAUGCAUAGCCGACCUGAGAGGGUGAUCGGCCACACUGGAACUGAGACACGGUCCAGACUCCUACGGGAGGCAGCAGUAGGGAAUCUUCCGCAAUGGGCGAAAGCCUGACGGAGCAACGCCGCGUGAGUGAUGAAGGUCUUCGGAUCGUAAAACUCUGUUAUUAGGGAAGAACAUAUGUGUAAGUAACUGUGCACAGCUUGACGGUACCUAAUCAGAAAGCCACGGCUAACUACGUG
RNAcentral lists this ribosomal RNA (497 nucleotides) under uncultured bacterium. Its description in RNAcentral is "partial 16S ribosomal RNA". It matches the Rfam family "Bacterial small subunit ribosomal RNA", at positions 28 to 507 of the family's 1533-position model. The record is from RNAcentral.